Molecule: small nuclear RNA, 68 nt
Filed under: Microtus ochrogaster (prairie vole)
Lineage: Eukaryota; Metazoa; Chordata; Mammalia; Rodentia; Cricetidae
Source: RNAcentral
GUGCUUGCUUUGGCAACAUGUAUACUAAAAACGGAACAAUACAGAGGAGAUUAGUAUGGCCCCUGUGC